RNAcentral lists this ribosomal RNA (433 nucleotides) under uncultured bacterium. Its description in RNAcentral is "partial 16S ribosomal RNA". It matches the Rfam family "Bacterial small subunit ribosomal RNA", at positions 29 to 507 of the family's 1533-position model. The record is from RNAcentral.
AGCGAACGCUGGCGGCAGGCCUAACACAUGCAAGUCGAACGAACUCUUCGGAGUUAGUGGCGGACGGGUGAGUAACACGUGGGAACGUGCCUUUUGGUUCGGAAUAACUCAGGGAAACUUGUGCUAAUACCGAAUGUGCCCUUCGGGGGAAAGAUUUAUCGCCAUUAGAGCGGCCCGCGUCUGAUUAGCUAGUUGGUGAGGUAACGGCUCACCAAGGCGACGAUCAGUAGCUGGUCUGAGAGGAUGACCAGCCACACUGGGACUGAGACACGGCCCAGACUCCUACGGGAGGCAGCAGUGGGGAAUCUUGCGCAAUGGGCGAAAACCUGACGCAGCCAUGCCGCGUGAAUGAUGAAGGUCUUAGGAUUGUAAAAUUCUUUCACCGGGGACGAUAAUGACGGUACCCGGAGAAGAAGCCCCGGCUAACUUCGUG